This 73-nucleotide transfer RNA is filed under the name Paramuricea clavata. It matches the Rfam family "tRNA". From Rfam's summary of the family: Transfer RNA (tRNA) molecules are approximately 80 nucleotides in length. Their secondary structure includes four short double-helical elements and three loops (D, anti-codon, and T loops). Further hydrogen bonds mediate the characteristic L-shaped molecular structure. tRNAs have two regions of fundamental functional importance: the anti-codon, which is responsible for specific mRNA codon recognition, and the 3' end, to which the tRNAs corresponding amino acid is attached (by aminoacyl-tRNA synthetases). tRNAs cope with the degeneracy of the genetic code in two manners: having more than one tRNA (with a specific anti-codon) for a particular amino acid; and 'wobble' base-pairing, i.e. permitting non-standard base-pairing at the 3rd anti-codon position. Lineage: Eukaryota; Metazoa; Cnidaria; Anthozoa; Malacalcyonacea; Plexauridae. The record is from Rfam by way of RNAcentral.
GACCGCGUAGCUCAGCUGGCAGAGCAUUGGGCUAGUAUUCCAAAGGUCGUAGGUUCGAUUCCCACCGUGGCCA